CGUGUAGGCGGCUUUGCAAGUCGGGUGUGAAAGCCCUCCAGCUCAACUGAGGAAGUGCGCCCGAAACUGCAGAGCUUGAGUACCGGAGAGGAUGGCGGAAUUCCCCAAGUAGAGGUGAAAUUCGUAGAUAUGGGGAGGAACACCGGUGGCGAAGGCGGCCAUCUGGACGGUCACUGACGCUGAGACGCGAAAGCGUGGGUAGCAAACAGG
RNAcentral lists this ribosomal RNA (210 nucleotides) under uncultured delta proteobacterium. RNAcentral's name for it is "partial 16S ribosomal RNA". It matches the Rfam family "Bacterial small subunit ribosomal RNA", at positions 568 to 776 of the family's 1533-position model. Lineage: Bacteria; Deltaproteobacteria. The record is from RNAcentral.